AUGGAUAAUGGCAAUCAACUGACACUGGAACAAGAAUUUAAAUUAGCUAUAUAUAUAAAAAAAAUAAAUAAGCUAGAUAAUAAUAGUACAAAAAAACACUUAAUGAUAAUAUUAAAACAAAUGAUGAUUAAAGAUAAUAUAAUAAAAUAUUUUAUCAAAAAUUCUAUACCUUAGAAAAUAUUACAAAAUAUUAAUUUGUUAUACUAAUUUGUUUACAAGAUACAAUAUAUUAUAUUGUCGACACUAAUACAUCGGCUUGUCAAAAAAAUGACAGCUGAAACAGCUAAGUCCUUUACAAAAAAAUACAAGGAGAGUUCCAUGCUUGAUGCAUUUUCUAGAGUUGUAGUUAAUUCAGACGCUAAAGCUGCUUACGUAGGUGGCAGUGAUCUACAAGCUCUUAAAACUUUU
This 408-nucleotide unclassified non-coding RNA is filed under the name Gongylonema nepalensis. RNAcentral's name for it is "ITS1". The record is from RNAcentral. Lineage: Eukaryota; Metazoa; Nematoda; Chromadorea; Rhabditida; Gongylonematidae.